RNAcentral lists this ribosomal RNA (463 nucleotides) under uncultured bacterium. Its description in RNAcentral is "partial 16S ribosomal RNA". It matches the Rfam family "Bacterial small subunit ribosomal RNA", at positions 29 to 507 of the family's 1533-position model. The record is from RNAcentral.
ACGAACGCUGGCGGCGUGCUUAACACAUGCAAGUCGAACGCUGAACCGGUUUCGGCCGGGGAUUAGUGGCGAACGGGUGAGUAACACGUGGGCAAUCUGCCCUGCACUCUGGGAUAAGCCCGGGAAACUGGGUCUAAUACCGGAUACGACACUCCGAGGCAUCUUGGGGUGUGGAAAGUUCCGGCGGUGCAGGAUGAGCCCGCGGCCUAUCAGCUUGUUGGUGGGGUAAUGGCCUACCAAGGCGACGACGGGUAGCCGGCCUGAGAGGGUGACCGGCCACACUGGGACUGAGACACGGCCCAGACUCCUACGGGAGGCAGCAGUGGGGAAUAUUGCACAAUGGGCGAAAGCCUGAUGCAGCGACGCCGCGUGAGGGAUGACGGCCUUCGGGUUGUAAACCUCUUUCAGCAGGGAAGAAGCGAAAGUGACGGUACCUGCAGAAGAAGCACCGGCUAACUACGUG